GCUUAGAAGCAGCCAUCCUUUAAAGAAAGCGUAAUAGCUCACUGGUCUAGUGAUUCUGCGCGGAAAAUAUAACGGGGCUAAAAUGAGUACCGAAGCUUUAGACUUAGUUUUACUAAGUGGUAGGAGAGCGUUGUAUUUGCGUUGAAGGUAUACCGGUAAGGAGUGCUGGAGCGAAUACAAGUGAGCAUGCAGGCAUGAGUAGCGAUAAUUGGGGUGAGAAUCCCCAACGCCGUAAACCCAAGGUUUCCUACGCGAUGCUCGUCAUCGUAGGGUUAGCCGGGUCCUAAGCAAAGUCCGAAAGGGGUAUGCGAUGGAAAAUUGGUUAAUAUUCCAAUGCCAACUAUAAUGUGCGAUGGAAGGACGCUUAGAGUUAGAGGAGCCAGCGGAUGGUAGUGCUGGUCGAAAGGUGCAGGUUGGAGUUCAGGCAAAUCCGAACUCCUUUAAGCCGAGGCCUUACAGGUGCGUGAAGUUCUUCGGAAUGAAUCGUAAAUCCUUGAUACUGUCGAGCCAAGAAAAGUUUCUAAGUUUAGUUAUAGUUGCCCGUACCGUAAACCGACACAGGUGGGUGGGAUGAGUAUUCUAAGGCGCGUGGAAGAACUCUCUUCAAGGAACUCUGCAAAAUAGCACCGUAUCUUCGGUAUAAGGUGUGCCUAACUUUGUGAAGGAUUUACUCCGUAAGCAUUGAAGGUUACAACAAAGAGUCCCUCCCGACUGUUUACCAAAAACACAGCACUCUGCUAACUCGUAAGAGGAUGUAUAGGGUGUGACGCCUGCCCGGUGCUCGAAGGUUAAUUGAUGACGUUAGCUCUGCGAAGCGUUUGAUCGAAGCCCGAGUAAACGGCGGCCGUAACUAUAACGGUCCUAAGGUAGCGAAAUUCCUUGUCGAUUAAAUAUCGACCUGCAUGAAUGGCGUAACGAGAUGGGAGCUGUCUCGAAGAGGGAUCCAGUGAAAUUGUAGUGGAGGUGAAAAUUCCUCCUACCCGCGGCAAGACGGAAAGACCCCGUGGACCUUUACUACAGCUUGACACUGCUAUUGGGAUAAAAAUGUGCAGGAUAGGCGGGAGGCUUUGAUCCAUAGACGCCAGUUUAUGGUGAGCCAUUGUUGAGAUACCGCUCUUUUUUAUUCUGAUAGCUAACUAGCUUGAGUUAUCCUCAAGUAGGACAAUGUCUGGUGGGUAGUUUGACUGGGGCGGUCGCCUCCCAAAAUGUAACGGAGGCUUACAAAGGUUGGCUCAGAACGGUUGGAAAUCGUUCGUAGAGUAUAAAGGCAUAAGCCAGCUUAACUGCGAGACAUACACGUCAAGCAGAGACGAAAGUCGGUCUUAGUGAUCCGGUGGUUCUGUGUGGAAGGGCCAUCGCUCAAAGGAUAAAAGGUACCCCGGGGAUAACAGGCUGAUCUCCCCCAAGAGCUCACAUCGACGGGGAGGUUUGGCACCUCGAUGUCGGCUCAUCGCAUCCUGGGGCUGGAGCAGGUCCCAAGGGUAUGGCUGUUCGCCAUUUAAAGCGGUACGCGAGCUGGGUUCAGAACGUCGUGAGACAGUUCGGUCCCUAUCUGCCGUGGGCGCAAGAAGAUUGAGGAGAGUUGACCCUAGUACGAGAGGACCGGGUCGAACCAACCACUGGUGUACGAGUUGUCCUGCCAAGGGCACCGCUCGGUAGCUAUGUUGGGAUGUGAUAACUGCUGAAAGCAUCUAAGCAGGAAGCCAACUCCAAGAUGAAUCUUCUUUUAAGAGCUCAUAUAGACUAUGUGUUUGAUAGGCUGGGUGUGUAAUGGAUGAAAGUCCUUUAGCUGACCAGUACUAAUAGCUCGUCUGCUUAUCUU
RNAcentral lists this ribosomal RNA (1822 nucleotides) under human oral metagenome. RNAcentral describes it as "bacterial LSU rRNA". It matches the Rfam family "Bacterial large subunit ribosomal RNA", at positions 1104 to 2925 of the family's 2925-position model. The record is from RNAcentral.